This 253-nucleotide ribosomal RNA is filed under the name uncultured bacterium. Its description in RNAcentral is "partial 16S ribosomal RNA". It matches the Rfam family "Bacterial small subunit ribosomal RNA", at positions 524 to 776 of the family's 1533-position model. The record is from RNAcentral.
UACGUAGGGUGCGAGCGUUGUCCGGAAUUAUUGGGCGUAAAGAGCUCGUAGGCGGUUUGUCGCGUCGGCCGUGAAAACUUGGGGCUUAACUCCAAGCUUGCGGUCGAUACGGACAGACUUGAGUUCGGCAGGGGAGACUGGAAUUCCUGGUGUAGCGGUGAAAUGCGCAGAUAUCAGGAGGAACACCGGUGGCGAAGGCGGGUCUCUGGGCCGAUACUGACGCUGAGGAGCGAAAGCGUGGGGAGCGAACAGG